UACGUAGGGUGCGAGCGUUGUCCGGAUUUAUUGGGCGUAAAGGGCUCGUAGGCGGCGUGUCGCGUCGGGAGUGAAAGCCCGUUGCUUAACGGCGGGUUGGCUUUCGGUACGGGCAUGCUGGAGUGCGGCAGGGGAGACUGGAAUUCCGUGGUGUAGCGGUGGAAUGCGCAGAUAUCAGGAGGGAACACCGGUGGGCGAAGGCGGGUCUCUGGGCCGUUACUGACGCUGGAGGAGCGGAAAGCGUGGGGAGCGAACAGG
Molecule: ribosomal RNA, 258 nt
Filed under: uncultured bacterium
Lineage: Bacteria
Description: partial 16S ribosomal RNA
Rfam family: Bacterial small subunit ribosomal RNA
Source: RNAcentral